AGUGAACGCUGGCGGUAGGCCUAACACAUGCAAGUCGAACGGCAGCACAGUAAGAGCUUGCUCUUACGGGUGGCGAGUGGCGGACGGGUGAGGAAUACAUCGGAAUCUACUUUUUCGUGGGGGAUAACGUAGGGAAACUUACGCUAAUACCGCAUACGACCUACGGGUGAAAGCAGGGGAUCUUCGGACCUUGCGCGACUGAAUGAGCCGAUGUCGGAUUAGCUAGUUGGCGGGGUGAAGGCCCACCAAGGCGACGGUCCGUAGCUGGUCUGAGAGGAUGGGCAGCGAGACUGGAAGUGAGACACGGGCCAGGCUCGUACGGGAGGCAGCAGUGGGGAAUGUUGGACAAUGGGCGCAAGCCUGAUCCAGCCAUACCGCGUGGGUGAAGAAGGCCUUCGGGUUGUAAAGCCCUUUUGUUGGGAAAGAAAAGCAGCAGGUUAAUACCCCGCUGUUCUGACGGUACCCAAAGAAUAAGCACCGGCUAACUUCGUG
This 492-nucleotide ribosomal RNA is filed under the name uncultured bacterium. Its description in RNAcentral is "partial 16S ribosomal RNA". It matches the Rfam family "Bacterial small subunit ribosomal RNA", at positions 29 to 507 of the family's 1533-position model. The record is from RNAcentral.